Daucus carota subsp. sativus is the source of this 1515-nucleotide long non-coding RNA. RefSeq lists it as uncharacterized. The record is from RefSeq and is a predicted model, not a curated record. Lineage: Eukaryota; Viridiplantae; Streptophyta; Magnoliopsida; Apiales; Apiaceae. The transcript is spliced from 2 exons.
AAUGAUUCGUAUGAUUGAUAUUGGAUAAGUAUAUAUGGAUUAUAGCUAUUGGAUUUUGUUGGUUGAUUAAUGAUUGAGAUAGGAUAAUAGGUGGAUAGUCUUAUACAUAGACGAGACGAUGUCGGAUUUUCGAUAAGGAUUUAUAUGAUAAGUGAUUGAUAAUAUGUUAGGUGGUAUAUGACUUGACUAUAUGGUAGAGUCAAAGCAUGAUUACGUGUUAAGUGAUAUGUGAUAAGUUUAAAGGGGUAUAUAAGUGGGUAUCGAUAUACGUGAUAUGUAUAUGCGAUAUAUUGUUUAGUGACUAUAGUAUUAUCUUAUUCUCGUAAAGGAUUUGGACGAGACGUGUACGCUCGAAGACGUCAGAAAGUCGGAAUGGUAUUGCAAAGCGAAUAAGGGAUGAUUGAGUAAGCGAAGCGAAGUGGCGAAUAGAGUAUAGCUAGAGAUGGUCUAGAGAUUACGAGAUGCAUAGAUUGUGAAGGUGGAAAGAUGAGAUAGAGAUGUGAGACUGGAGUCAGAUUUAAGGCAAGUAUCCUAUACCCUUCUUUUGGAUAUCUUGCAAUUAUUCUGAUCCAUUCUUUUCGUAUGUGUUGCAAAUAUUUGUUCCUCUCUUUUUCAUAUUUGAAAGUGUAAAUAUUUUAUCCAUCCUUUUCAAAUCCUCAAAAAAUUCAGAUAAUUCUAGUUUUACAAAUUAAUUCGAAGUUCAGAUUGUCAUUGAAGCAUGUGUUGCUCAGUGAUAGUUAGAGCUUUGAAUGAAUUGGGAUCUUCUUGAUUAUUCAACCCUCCAUUGUCAUGCUGGUUUAGCAGGCUAAAUUCAGUUGCUUAGCCGAUAAUGGAGGAUACUGAAUAGUUGAGGAUUUCCUGAACUGUGAUUAUGAAAUGAUGGAUCAUGAUUUAUGAAUAGAUUAUUAUCAAAGUUUGAAUUGGAAUUAUUCUGUUGUUGAUGAUAUUUAUGAUGAUGUUCUGUUAAUUUACAUUGGCUUCUUGAAUUGAAUUAGAGAAUUGGAUUAUUGUUUUUAUAUAAACCUGUGGACCAGAUUCGUGGUCAUGUUAGGCCAAUGAGUGCCUUGGAUCCAGUGAUAGAGCAUGGCGGGGCCUGCUCGGGGUUAGUGCGGAACUGAUCAGCUGCCUAACCUUUGUUUUAAUUAAAAUGUGAUAGUCCAAUUCGAUAAUUCUCUUGGAAAGAUUGAAUUACUCCAGUAUUCCAUUGAUGCAAGAAAGGAUUAAAGAUGAAUGGCUAGACUAUGAUUGCGAGUAAGGCUAAUGCUAGGCGAGGAGACAGAGUUGAGGAUCCAGUGAUCGAGGAGUGUUCAGGAAAGUUGAUGAGGUUGGUGCAAGCUGGAAUAGUUGACAGUGAUUCUUCUUAUCGAAGAUGAUCUGAUUUGGUAAGAGAAGUUGUGUAAUAUUAGUGGUGGAUUCUAAUUUCAAUACUGUAACCUGGAUGCGAUCCUGUUGCUUUUAGGGGGUUUAAAUGUUCUCUUUCGAAUCAUUUAUUAAAGUUUAAAUGUUCUCUUGAAA